Molecule: ribosomal RNA, 1007 nt
Filed under: Acrogenospora obovoidspora
Lineage: Eukaryota; Fungi; Ascomycota; Dothideomycetes; Minutisphaerales; Acrogenosporaceae
Description: SSU rRNA
Rfam family: Eukaryotic small subunit ribosomal RNA
Source: RNAcentral
CUGCGAAUGGCUCAUUAAAUCAGUUAUCGUUUAUUUGAUAGUACCUUACUACUUGGAUAACCGUGGUAAUUCUAGAGCUAAUACAUGCUAAAAACCCCGACUCCGGAAGGGGUGUAUUUAUUAGAUAAAAAACCAACGCCCUUCGGGGCUCCUUGGUGAUUCAUAAUAACUAAACGAAUCGCAUGGCCUUGCGCCGGCGAUGGUUCAUUCAAAUUUCUGCCCUAUCAACUUUCGAUGGUAGGAUAGUGGCCUACCAUGGUAUCAACGGGUAACGGGGAAUUAGGGUUCUAUUCCGGAGAGGGAGCCUGAGAAACGGCUACCACAUCCAAGGAAGGCAGCAGGCGCGCAAAUUACCCAAUCCCGACACGGGGAGGUAGUGACAAUAAAUACUGAUACAGGGCUCUUACGGGUCUUGUAAUUGGAAUGAGUACAAUUUAAAUCCCUUAACGAGGAACAAUUGGAGGGCAAGUCUGGUGCCAGCAGCCGCGGUAAUUCCAGCUCCAAUAGCGUAUAUUAAAGUUGUUGCAGUUAAAAAGCUCGUAGUUGAACCUUGGGCCUGGCUGGCCGGUCCGCCUCACCGCGUGCACUGGUCCGGCCGGGCCUUUCCUUCUGGGGAUCCGCAUGUCCUUUACUGGGUGUGUCGGGGAACCAGGACUUUUACUUUGAAAAAAUUAGAGUGUUCAAAGCAGGCCUUUGCUCGAAUACAUUAGCAUGGAAUAAUAGAAUAGGACGUGCGGUUCUAUUUUGUUGGUUUCUAGGACCGCCGUAAUGAUUAAUAGGGAUAGUCGGGGGCAUCAGUAUUCAAUUGUCAGAGGUGAAAUUCUUGGAUUUAUUGAAGACUAACUACUGCGAAAGCAUUUGCCAAGGAUGUUUUCAUUAAUCAGUGAACGAAAGUUAGGGGAUCGAAGACGAUCAGAUACCGUCGUAGUCUUAACCAUAAACUAUGCCGACUAGGGAUCGGGCGAUGUUACUAUUCUGACUCGCUCGGCACCUUACGAGAAAUCAAA